Molecule: long non-coding RNA, 1420 nt
Organism: Manis pentadactyla (Chinese pangolin)
Lineage: Eukaryota; Metazoa; Chordata; Mammalia; Pholidota; Manidae
Exons: 6
Source: RefSeq, a predicted model, not a curated record
CCUCCGGGGCGACACAUCCCCCCUAGGGCGAGUCGGGGCGCGGGGUGCGGGUCCCCUCGCCGUGGCCCGCGGGCAGGCGGCUCCUUGGUGCGGCAGCGACUGGUACCCGCAACUCUCGCACGGUGACUAAAGCUGUCCUGCCAGAAACUUGCCGCCGGGCCCGUGGGCCCAAUGGGAGGGGAGGCCCUCCUGUCAUCUUCAUAUUUUUGGAUGGGGAAACAGCCCAGAGAAGUGCCUGGAUCACCCUACUCCUAAGGAGGCCAGCUGCUGGACUCCUACUCCAGUGCUCCUGGACCACAAGGGUGGUGGCCUCCCUCCCAGCCAAGCCCCUCCUUACCAAAGCAAAAUAAUUGGACGAAGAAAUAGAGUUGGUUAAAAGCAAACGUUUUUAUAUUAUACAUACACACGCAUGCUGAAUUCAGGACAACCGUGCCAGGUGUGGGCUGGUGAUAGCUGCUGCCACCCCACGGAGGCUGCCCCUCCCCUCGAGCGUCCUGGUGAGCUGUGUCCCAGUCCAGACCACUCUGGGGCUUGGGGCAAACCUGGAGGAGCCCGUCAGACAUGUAGGCUUCACCCCAGCCCUGCUUGCAGGCUUGCCGCCUAAGGGCAGCCUUACUUGACUGCAGGGCUGCACCCCAGGGGGAUGGGAGUGGAGGGGAGCUGCCCUGGGGUCAAGGCUGCAUGCAGGGUUAUGUUUGCCGAAGGGCCCGGGAUGGUGACGCACGGAGGCAUGAGAUGACAUUGUUUGCGAGGACAGGUGGUGUGGGUAAGGGCCACUAGGACCGUGGGGGUUGGGCCGGCUCCUCCCUGUCCCCCAUCCCUGGGAGUCACUGGCCCAAAUGCUGCUGUCAACGACCGCACCCCUCAGUAGGGGUAGGGCGACACGUUGAUGAGCAGGACGAAGACGUUUUGGUGGCGCGGCGCUGCGGCGCGCACGGUGAGCCGGUAGAGGCCGGAGCGGGAAGUUCCCAGUGGGAACAAGGCAUUGGAAACCUCCAGAAUAGGCCGUCUCCCAAGGGGUGAACCUGGCUACUGGCUGUACAUGGAGGCUGUGCAGAAUGCGUAAGUGAUGGUGCUGCACCAGCUGUGGCUGGGGGCCCUGGGCCACGUCGUACUGGAUGCUGUGGUUGCAGAGCAGCAGCCCAGGGAGGCUGUCUUGCAGGAAGUGCUGUGUGGAGCCUACAAAGAGCCGGCCGGGCCCCACCUGCACAUAUUGCUCCUGGAAGUCCUGGAGGAGGAGGAGGAGGAGAAGGAAAAUGUCUGGGAUUUCAACUUCCAAAGGAGGUCUGUGUCAGCCAGGCUCUUGGGGACGACGCCACUGACCACCACAUCGAGGAGCAGAAAGCCGUCGGGAUCCAGGCCCCGGGCCACCUGCGUCAUCCUGAGCAGCUCCCCUGCAAUCCAUGCCCGCCCAGCCUGG